This 496-nucleotide ribosomal RNA is filed under the name uncultured bacterium. RNAcentral describes it as "partial 16S ribosomal RNA". It matches the Rfam family "Bacterial small subunit ribosomal RNA", at positions 29 to 507 of the family's 1533-position model. The record is from RNAcentral.
AUGCACGCUGGCGGCGUGCCUCAUACAUGCAAGUCGAGCGCACAGACGAGGAGCUUGCUCCUCUGACGUUAGCGGCGGACGGGUGAGUAACACGUGGAUAACCCACCUAUAAGACUGGGAUAACUUCGGGAAACCGGAGCUAAUACCGGAUAAUAUAUUGAACCGCAUGGUUCAAUAGUGAAAGACGGUUUUGCUGUCACUUAUAGAUGGAUCCGCGCCGCAUUAGCUAGUUGGUAAGGUAACGGCUUACCAAGGCAACGAUGCGUAGCCGACCUGAGAGGGUGAUCGGCCACACUGGAACUGAGACACGGUCCAGACUCCUACGGGAGGCAGCAGUAGGGAAUCUUCCGCAAUGGGCGAAAGCCUGACGGAGCAACGCCGCGUGAGUGAUGAAGGUCUUCGGAUCGUAAAACUCUGUUAUUAGGGAAGAACAAAUGUGUAAGUAACUAUGCACGUCUUGACGGUACCUAAUCAGAAAGCCACGGCUAACUACGUG